CUUUCUGCCAGGGAGUUUGUGGUUUACCAGUAUGGCCUUUCCAUUCUGCACCUCCUCAUCCCCCAGCUUCAUGCUCCAGAAAUCACCCUGAAAGUUGCUUCUCAUCUUCCUGCCAUGGAAGCCCAAGGCAGCACCUUCCAAGGUGCUUUCUUCUAUCAGUGCUGAAAACACACUGUUCAUUGGGAGAGAGUGUUUGGCCUCUGUGGGAAGCUUUGUUCUGCUGCUGAUCCGCUGCCUGGCCCACAUCAUUGCUGGGGAACCCCACCAGGACUCCGACCCUGCCUUUCUGGGGUCAUUUUACAAGGGCCUGGAGGCCUAUUUCAGGGAAGCAUUCUCUAUUACACUGAGAAUGCCAGCGGUUUCCAGGGACAGAAAACUUGACCAAAGCAUAAGUGCUAUCCUGCUGGAAGAGCAGCCCAUCUCUGACAGAGAAAGAGAUCUUCUGUCUAAACUCAUUGAAAUGAAGCAUGCAUCUCCCUUGGAGCCAGAAUCACUAGAAGAGUAUAUUCAGAAAAACAAAGAUCUUCUGCUCUUCACCAAUAUGGAACAUUUCCUAAAAAGCAUCCUCGCCACAGAACAACAAAUCC
Molecule: long non-coding RNA, 587 nt
Organism: Mandrillus leucophaeus (drill)
Lineage: Eukaryota; Metazoa; Chordata; Mammalia; Primates; Cercopithecidae
Exons: 5
Source: RefSeq, a predicted model, not a curated record